CGCGGAGUAGAGCAGUUUGGUAGCUCGCAAGGCUCAUAACCUUGAGGUCUUGGUAAAAUAGAAAGUUCCAUA
RNAcentral lists this transfer RNA (72 nucleotides) under Pterospora andromedea. Its description in RNAcentral is "tRNA-fMet". Lineage: Eukaryota; Viridiplantae; Streptophyta; Magnoliopsida; Ericales; Ericaceae. The record is from RNAcentral.